UGAAGUCAGUUUUUACUUAAUUUAUACAUGCAAGUCUCCGCACCCCUGUGAAAAUGCCCUUACACCCCUAAUCGGAAAAAGGAGCUGGUAUCAGGCACAAAAAUUAGCCCAAAACACCUAGCAACGCCACACCCACAAGGGAACUCAGCAGUAAUUAACAUUGGAAAUUAGCGCCAGCUUGAUUCAGUUAAAGUAAAAAGGGCAGGCAAAUAUGGUGCCAGCCGCCGCGGUUACACCACGGGGCCCAAAUUGACUUCCUUCGGCGUAAAGAGUGAUUAAAGUAACACUACACUGUAGUUAAACUAAAAUUAAGUUGUGAUAAGCUUAUAUUUAGGAAACCCAAAAACGAAAGUUACUACACCCCCCAAAACAACU
Molecule: ribosomal RNA, 375 nt
Filed under: Boana dentei (Amapa treefrog)
Lineage: Eukaryota; Metazoa; Chordata; Amphibia; Anura; Hylidae
Description: partial 12S ribosomal RNA
Source: RNAcentral